UCUCUCUCUCAUCUGUGUUUCGAUUUCUGUUUACUUGGACCAACAGCUGCUUUGGAUCAUGAGAACUGAUGCGAUAAGAAAGGGUAGUUCUUUUUCAUCAAAUAUCAAGAUUUGGUGAGAAAGGGGUGGGGACAAUCAAAAGAUUUCAUUUUUAUAUUUCUCUCCAUUUCUCACCAAAUCAUUCAGUCCAAAUGAGUGAUUCGGGGAGACUCUCUAAUCUUUUCUUUUCUUACAAAAUCGCUAAAUCGAAAGGGGCUAAUAUACACAAAUAUUCGUGGCCUAUGAUAUGUUACUUGGAUUUUCUUUUUGUAUACUGUUGGAUUUCACUACCACUGCUGUAAAGCGGGUAAUUGAUAGGCUCGGUUUGUUUCAACGUAACGGAAAAUAAUUUUGCCAAAUAUAAACUUUUUCGUUUUUGUUUUCUGGUUUUUGGUUGAUAAUGAAAAAUAUUUUUUCAGCACAUAAAUAUGUGUAUGAAAAUAUACAUGUUUGUGAGAGAGAGAGUCACGGGCCAAAGAAAUUAGGAGAAUCUAACUGGGAAAUUGACUUCAAGAGAGAGAGAGAGAGAGAGAGAGAGAGAGAGAGAGGAAUUUAGUGGAGGGGAGAGAGACGAGAGAUGACUAUGUGAGGGAUUGCCUGAUUGGUUAUAUUUCAAGAGGUAUCGGGAGAACAGAGAAUUGAUCGGGAAAAUGACUUACCCAGUUUUUCUCGAAAAGUUAUUUUACCUCAGUUUGUUGGGAAAGGUUUUCCUAACUAAAACAUUUUCCCGGGUUUAGGACAACCAAACACCCAAAAAAUGGGUAAACAUUCUACAGGAAAAUAUUUUAUGGCCAAACAAACGGAGCCAUAAUGUAAAACGAGUAGUUUAGCAGCUUGAUAAAAUUUGGUGAAGAUCAUGACCGACCCUUGAACUCAAUCUGAAUUACUAUAAGCUACAGUUGCCCAUUUUUGAAAUGCUAACACUUGGUGUAUGUCACAUCAGAAGACUAAAACAACUUGCUUUUGGGGUACAAGCAGAGAAAAAUUGCACCCAAUGAAUUUACAGAUUACAAUCCUUCCACCAUGCGAAAACAGAACACUUGCACACAGUAAGCAAAAACGAAUUUUUAGACUCGGAAAGGGCUUAAUACUUGUGAAACUCCCAUUCUAAGUUUGUCUGGGGAAUUACCAUGUCUUAGGAAUUACUACUGGUUGAAGAAGAACAAGAUGCUUUUAGAGGACUGUGACAGCAGAGAGAGCUUAGCAGGGAGGGAGAGAGAUAGAGAGACACAAGGGAUCACGGAGAUAGAGAGAUUAACUGGGCUAUAACCGUACGAGGAUAGUAGAUCAGGAUCGCCGCUGGCUGGUUAUGUUUGGGGUUGAUUUGAAGCUCUAUAUAUCCUAGUAGUAUUUAGUAUCAAGAUUUGGGUCACGUGGUUGUGUCAUUCUGUUAACUGUUUUUGUGGAAAAUGGGGCGGGCCUUAGUAAGCAGUUAUGAAGGUACCCUGGACCGUUCCCUGGACUUGUUCUAAGUUUCUCCGGGUGUAUUGGCCAGUUCAAAAUCCGGUUUUUUUUUUUUUGGAUCAACAAAUUCGGUUUUCGUUGGUUAGAAGAUGAAUCUUUUGUGGCCUAACACAGAAAUACAGAAUGACAAUAUAUGCGUGAGUCUCAAAAUAGAAUUUUAGAGCAUACAUGUCAUGGCUACCGAAAGAUUAAUCAAUUUUAUUAUAGAGGAGUUUUGAGUCAAUAUAGACUUCAAUUCAAUUUUACCGAAUAGGUGAUCUCCUGUGAAGCAUGUUUUUAUUCAUCUCCAAAUGUGAAUUGUGUGCUUAUAAAAUGCUCGUAAGUCCCAGCUAAACCAUUUAAGCAACCAAGUGAAGCAGUCAUACGAUAUGCUUUUCUGCAGCAUGUCAUCCUUGCGUAGUUUCAUAUUUAUCCAGUCAGAUGCCUUCAGUUAAUGAAUAACUGAUGCAGCGGAAGCUAAUUGAAACACAAAACUACUAAAUUGAGUCCGAAUCCGUUGAUUCGUAACGAAUACCCGGAAAUCGAAAUCCUUCUCUAAACCUGUUUAGUCAAAGAAUACCCAGGAAUAAAGGCAUCAAACACUUUGUUGAUUCCGUAGAAUACCAAAGAAUUUGGCAUAAAAGAGAACACUCUUUAUAAUUUUAUUAAUCAUCAAAAAACUGAAUAGCCCUAAGGCUUACAACUUAAUUUAUAGUAGGAGAAACCCUACACACUAGGAAAUAAAGAAAAAGGAAACUACCAAAGUUAGAAUUGAGUCUUCGUAAUCAAAUAAUUCUUAAAAGGAAACUAAAUAAACUAAAUUGAAAAACUAAAUAAUGUAAACACUUAUUUCUAUAAUUGCAAGAUUCCUAACAAAAUAAAUAAAAAUAAAAAUAAGAAACUUUAUAUUCUUUUUUUUAAAUAAUAUAUAAUAUUUUCAUUUUACAUCAUUCUCCCGGGCUUGAGAAAACUCGUCCUCGAGUUUCAAUUGCUUCAAAUAAUCUUGCUCGUCGAAACUUGUCUGCAUCAAUUUUAUACUUUAUGUUGAUCUUCUCGAACUUGAAUUUUAACAAGAAGUCUUCAAACGCAAAAGGUGGAAUAUCAGUGAAUCCCAUAAAAUCGCCGCGAACUAUGUCUUCACUUUGUUCCUUGCAGAAUCCAAAUAUUUGAACACCUAACCAUGUGUAUGUUGGGUUACUUCUAGAUGCAAUUUUAAUUCCAAUUGCAACGGCGCUGAAAUUGUAGUAUUCAACACAAAAUGCAGAUGAUCAUCUUUACGCAAAACAAUCUCAAACUCCACAUCAUUGAAUGGUUCCUCAUCAAAAAUAGGCAGUUUACUCCAAUCCACAACUGGAUCUGGAAUAACUUUGGAUGUGAAAGGCCACCGAACUGUAGCCUCCUCCAUGAAGCACGAACUCAAUGGGUUGUAGUGAGGUUGAUUAUCAAUGAUCAAGGCAGCCCUCUUGACCAACGCUUCAUGCGUAUUCUCAAUCCGUUGAAACCAUACCCUUAGUUGUUGUUGCACCAUGAUCCGGAAUCGAGCGCUAGCUUUGAUACCAACUGAUGCAGCGGAAGCUAAUGAAAAACGGAACUACUAAAUUGAGUCCGAAUCCGUUGAUUCGUAACGAAUACCCGGAAAUCGAAAUCCUUCUCUAAACCUGUUUAGUCAAAGAAUACCCAGGAAUAAAGGCAUCAAACACUUUGUUGAUUCCGUAGAAUACCAAAGAAUUUGGCAUAAAAGAGAACACUCUUUAUAAUUUUAUUAAUCAUCAAAAAACUGAAUAGCCCUAAGGCUUACAACUUAAUUUAUAGUAGGAGAAACCCUACACACUAGGAAAUAAAGAAAAA
Long non-coding RNA from Rhododendron vialii, 3330 nucleotides. RefSeq lists it as uncharacterized. NCBI's taxonomy places the organism in Eukaryota, Viridiplantae, Streptophyta, Magnoliopsida, Ericales, Ericaceae. The transcript is spliced from 2 exons. The record is from RefSeq and is a predicted model, not a curated record.